UACGUAGGUGGCAAGCGUUGUCCGGAUUUACUGGGUGUAAAGGGCGUGCAGCCGGAGAGACAAGUCAGAUGUGAAAUCCACGGGCUCAACCCGUGAACUGCAUUUGAAACUGUUUCCCUUGAGUGUCUGAGAGGUAAUCGGAAUUCCUUGUGUAGCGGUGAAAUGCGUAGAUAUAAGGAAGAACACCAGUGGCGAAGGCGGAUUACUGGACGAUAACUGACGGUGAGGCGCGAAAGCGUGGGGAGCAAACAGG
RNAcentral lists this ribosomal RNA (253 nucleotides) under uncultured bacterium. RNAcentral describes it as "partial 16S ribosomal RNA". It matches the Rfam family "Bacterial small subunit ribosomal RNA", at positions 524 to 776 of the family's 1533-position model. The record is from RNAcentral.